This 424-nucleotide ribosomal RNA is filed under the name uncultured bacterium. Its description in RNAcentral is "partial 16S ribosomal RNA". It matches the Rfam family "Bacterial small subunit ribosomal RNA", at positions 354 to 796 of the family's 1533-position model. The record is from RNAcentral.
GUGGGGAAUAUUGGGCAAUGGGGGAAACCCUGACCCAGCAACGCCGCGUGAAGGAAGAAGGUUUUCGGAUCGUAAACUUCUAUCCUUGGUGAAGAUAAUGACGGUAGCCAAGAAGGAAGCCCCGGCUAACUACGUGCCAGCAGCCGCGGUAAUACGUAGGGGGCAAGCGUUGUCCGGAAUGAUUGGGCGUAAAGGGCGCGUAGGCGGCCUGGUAAGUGUGGAGUGAAAGUCCUGCUUUUAAGGUGGGAAUUGCUUUGGAUACUGUCGGGCUUGAGUGCAGGAGAGGUAAGCGGAAUUCCCGGUGUAGCGGUGAAAUGCGUAGAGAUCGGGAGGAACACCAGUGGCGAAGGCGGCUUACUGGACUGUAACUGACGCUGAGGCGCGAAAGUGUGGGGAGCAAACAGGAUUAGAAACCCCGUAGUCC